GCCAGACUCCUACGGGAGGCAGCAGUGGGGAAUAUUGGGCAAUGGGCGCAAGCCUGACCCAGCAACGCCGCGUGAAGGAAGAAGGCCCUCGGGUUGUAAACUUCUUUUGUCAGGGACGAAGAAAGUGACGGUACCUGACGAAUAAGCCACAGCUAACUACGUGCCAGCAGCCGCGGUAAUACGUAGGUGGCAAGCGUUAUCCGGAUUUAUUGGGUUUAAAGGGUGCGUAGGCGGGCUUUUAAGUCAGCGGUAAAAAUUCGGGGCUCAACCCCGUCCGGCCGUUGAAACUGGGGGCCUUGAGUGGGCGAGAAGAAGGCGGAAUGCGUGGUGUAGCGGUGAAAUGCAUAGAUAUCACGCAGAACCCCGAUUGCGAAGGCAGCCUUCCGGCGCCCUACUGACGCUGAGGCACGAAAGUGCGGGGAUCGAACAGGAUUAGAUACCCCGGUAUAC
RNAcentral lists this ribosomal RNA (450 nucleotides) under uncultured bacterium. RNAcentral's name for it is "bacterial SSU rRNA". It matches the Rfam family "Bacterial small subunit ribosomal RNA", at positions 330 to 795 of the family's 1533-position model. The record is from RNAcentral.